ACGAACGCUGGCGGCGUGCUUAACACAUGCAAGUCGAACGGAAAGGCCUGCUUUCCCUUGUGGAUUGCGGGUACUCGAGUGGCGAACGGGUGAGUAACACGUGAGUGAUCUGCCCCCAACUUGGGUAUAAGCCUGGGAAACUGAGUCUAAUUCCCGAUAGGACUGCAGGGUGGUGCCUGUGGUGGAAAACGAUUUUCUAGUGGUUGGGGAUGAGCUCGCGGCCUAUCAGCUUGUUGGUGGGGUAAUGGCCUACCAAGGCGGCGACGGGUAGCCGGCCUGAGAGGGUGGACGGCCACAUUGGGACUGAGAUACGGCCCAGACUCCUACGGGAGGCAGCAGUGGGGAAUAUUGCACAAUGGGCGGAAGCCUGAUGCAGCGACGCCGCGUGGGGGAUGACGGCCUUCGGGUUGUAAACUCCUUUCGACCGCGAGGAAGCCACCUGGUUGGAAGGGUGGUGACGGUAGUGGUAGAAGAAGCACCGGCUAACUACGCG
This 493-nucleotide ribosomal RNA is filed under the name uncultured bacterium. RNAcentral's name for it is "partial 16S ribosomal RNA". It matches the Rfam family "Bacterial small subunit ribosomal RNA", at positions 29 to 507 of the family's 1533-position model. The record is from RNAcentral.